RNA transcript from Anopheles darlingi, 1704 nucleotides. It is a transcript of the gene named 28S ribosomal protein S9, mitochondrial, with no coding region annotated. The record is from RefSeq and is a predicted model, not a curated record. The transcript is spliced from 7 exons. Lineage: Eukaryota; Metazoa; Arthropoda; Insecta; Diptera; Culicidae.
UAAUAAACCCGGUGGCAUGUACCUUUUUGUAAUGGGGCAGUUGACAUGUGUUUUCUUUAAAAAUUCAAAAACUUCGCCUAGUAUAUGCAAGACGCCUUAAAUCGCGCCAAUUUAGCCACUGCUUCUGUUUGGCCAAUAUUUUUUUCCUUGCAGCAAAGUGGCGUGCCUCAUUUUUCGUUCACGCAAUUACCAGACCUAAAAGCCGGUAUAGGUUAGAAAAAUUGAGUUCAAUAUGUUUCCAAUAUUUGUACGUAAUAUUGGUUGGCGUCACUUAGGUUGCUGCAAAAUGAGUCCGCCUCAUCAAAACUUUGCAGCUGGAUGGCUGCUGUAUAGCUCUAAAGCUUCUUCUAAUGGAGUCAAUGUGCAAAAAUCCAAAAUCAGCAAGGCCAUGAAGGCAUACCUUGAACGAGCGAAGGAAUAUGAAAGUUGUAUGAACACGGCUCGGUUGGAGUACAAACUUGGUAAACGGCACUUGGCAAACAUGAUGGGUGCCGAUGUAGAAAGUUUCUCUCAGCAAGACGUCGAUCAAGCUGUUCAAUAUCUUUUCCCCUCUGGGCUGUACGAUCCUGCUGCAAGACCUACCAUGAAGCACCCAGAAGAAUUUAUUCCCAAAACUAAAGGUGCUGAAUUUGACGAAACGGGUCGCCCUUUUCAUCCAUUAUUCUUCACUGGUCGACCGAAUUUCUUCCAACUGCUUUACGAUAUCGUGGAAAAUAUAAAUAUGUUGGACGCGUUGGAAGAUAGUGAUAGAGUUAAGAAUAGAACCAACGAUUCCGUCAUACGUCAACUUAAUCUAACGGGUUCCGAAUGGUUGACCAAAGAAAUGUUGGAAAAAAAAAUUGUCGAGAUCAUCUCCAAUACUGAGUAUGAUAAUUUUGUUGAUGCCAUGAAUCGUUUGGCGCAACAUCCGUUAUCAAACAAGGCUAAAAGCUUCAUAUUGGAGUACAGGAAACCGUUGAUAUCGGCCCAGGAUAAUGAUACAAUACCCGUACUGCAGCAUGAUACGGAUGGUCGACAAUAUGUUACAAUAUACGAGUGUCUUCGAAAAACAGCUCGCGGAGAUGUAACUAUUAAGUAUCCUGGCAACGGUACUGUUAUAAUAAAUGGCCAGGACUUGUGUAGUGUAGGUAGUACGCAGCAACGUGAUCAGAAAUUUGUGGGAAGCUCCCAUCGGUUAAUGGGAAUCACAGAAACAUCGACAAACUGGAGAGUGGAUUACCAGCAGCCGCUUUGGCACGAUCUGUCACGACGUUUACCUUUGGACUACUGACAAACCGAAAGAGCAUCACGUUGCCAUGGCCGAAUCAAUGAACCUGCUCUCCGAAUCAUAUUUCCCUGCUAUUGCGUUGACAGAAGAGAAUCACACCACACAAUGAUGUAGCAUGCUUCUAUGAGCACAUCUAUGAAGGAAGAAUUAGAAACGGUCGUCCGCGGUUUUGAGUGCUGUCGACAGCAAGCUUCUGUUUUCAACCAAUUGUUGUUAAAAGUUUCGCAUUGUAAAGUUGUAUUUCCUUUCAAUCGGAAAUGAGCCUCACAAACCUAUUUUACUCAAGAUAGCCAAGGAUAAUAUUUCCUUUGUUAUUUACAAAUAUGUUAGACAAAGUGGAUGUAUAUGCCAAAGUAUCGGGAGGAGGAUCGUCGUCUAGAGCAGGUGCUGUAAGAUGGGGAAUUGCUAUGGCACUUUGUUCUUUCGUUGAUAAGGGC